AGAGUAAUGUACAGGCUCUGAUUUCAUUACACAUUAUGAUUAUCAAUAAGAUAUGGUGACAAUGGUAGCUUUACACACACUUGGAGUUUUACUGCUCUUGCUGACACGGAACGUGGAGAACAUCUCCGUCCAGCAGUCUUCAUCCCAACUCAUCCAGGAAGGGACGGAGGAGCUCACCAUCACCUGCAGCCAUGAUGACAGCAGCUAUUACACAAUGCUCUGGUACCAACACAAGCAGAGCAGUCAGUCUAUGAGCCUCAUCGGGUUUGGAGUCAACACCGGCAGCCCCAACUACGAGGGUCGGUUUGAAGAGCGAUUCAAGCUGACGAGAGAAAACACACUGAAAGGAGCUCUGAUCAUUCACAAAGUGAACCUGUCAGACUCGGCUGUGUAUUUCUGUGCUGCCAGCACACAGUGAUGUGGUUUAAUGGAAGUGCUGAACAAGAAACCAGAUAUCACUCAAACUAAUGACAGCUGCUGCUCAGGGUUUAGGGCUUUAGAUGUUUAACUGAAGAGUUGAUGGAAACAGUUUCUUAAAGGCAGAUCAGUUUAUGUUUUUGCAACUAAAUGUGGCCGAUAUUGAACUAUAAUUGAAUAACCAAUAUCGGCUAGUUAGUGUUGCCCACGACCAACAACUGCAGAUUCCUCCCUGGCAUGAAAACAGUCCAUAAAUCUUGCCUGAAAUUCUAUUUUUUGCACAUUUUAAUCAUUCAUUUAAUGGCUUGCAAUACUGUCUUCAUUACAAAUGAGCCAA
Molecule: non-coding RNA, 754 nt
Organism: Myripristis murdjan (pinecone soldierfish)
Lineage: Eukaryota; Metazoa; Chordata; Actinopteri; Holocentriformes; Holocentridae
Source: the annotation of a RefSeq genome assembly